GAUGAAGAACGCAGCGAAAUGCGAUACUUGGUGUGAAUUGCAGAAUCCCGCGAAUCAUCGAGUUUUUGAACGCAAGUUGCGCCCGAAGCCAUUCGGCCGAGGGCACGUCUGCCUGGGUGUCACGCAUCGUUGCCCCCCCAAACUCCGGUUCGGGCAGGGCGGAAGUUGGCCUCCCGUGCGUGCCUGCGCGCGCGGUUAGCCCAAAAGCGAGUCCUCGGCGACGAGCGCCACGACAAUCGGUGGUUUUUUUACCCUCGUUCCUCGUCGUGCGUGCCCCGUCGCCCGAACGCACUCUUGCGACCCUUACGCGUCGCCUCGGCGGCGCUCCCAACGCGACCCCAGGUCAGGCGGGACUACCCGCUGAGUUUAAGCAUAUCAAUAAGCGGAGGA
This 390-nucleotide unclassified non-coding RNA is filed under the name soil metagenome. RNAcentral describes it as "partial contains 5.8S ribosomal RNA, internal transcribed spacer 2, and large subunit ribosomal RNA". The stretch from base 1 to 122 matches the Rfam family "5.8S ribosomal RNA", at positions 35 to 154 of the family's 154-position model. The record is from RNAcentral.